GAGCACGUAGGGGGGUUUGUAAGUCAGAUGUGAAAGCCUUCUGUUCAACGGGAGAAUUGCAUCUGAAACUGCUAAUCUUGAGUAUAGGAGGGGAGAAUGGAACUUCUGGUGGAGCGGUGAAAUGCGUAGAUAUCGGAAGGAACGCCGGCGGCGAAAGCGAUUCUCUGGCCUAUUACUGACACUCAGUGUGCGAAAGCUAGGGGAGCAAACGGGAUAGAUACCCCGUAGCAGCAAU
RNAcentral lists this ribosomal RNA (235 nucleotides) under Candidatus Scalindua brodae. RNAcentral's name for it is "partial 16S ribosomal RNA". It matches the Rfam family "Bacterial small subunit ribosomal RNA", at positions 565 to 803 of the family's 1533-position model. The record is from RNAcentral. Lineage: Bacteria; Pseudomonadati; Planctomycetota; Candidatus Brocadiia; Candidatus Brocadiales; Candidatus Scalinduaceae.